This 254-nucleotide ribosomal RNA is filed under the name uncultured bacterium. RNAcentral describes it as "partial 16S ribosomal RNA". It matches the Rfam family "Bacterial small subunit ribosomal RNA", at positions 524 to 776 of the family's 1533-position model. The record is from RNAcentral.
UACGUAGGGUGCGAGCGUUGUCCGGAAUUAUUGGGCGUAAAGAGCUCGUAGGCGGUUUGUUGCGUCUAUCGUGAAAACCUGCAGCUUAACUGUGGGCUUGCGGUGGAUACGGGCAGACUUGAGUUCGGUAGGGGAGACUGGAAUUCCUGGUGUAGCGGUGAAAUGCGCAGAUAUCUGGAGGAACCCCGGUGGCGAAGGCGGCAUCCUGGACCAACACUGACGCUGAGGGAGCGAAAGCCAGGGGAGCAAACGGG